GGGAGGAGGGUGAAAGGAUGAAGGGUGGAGGGAUGAUAGAGGAGGGUGGAUGGAGGUUGGAGGAUGAAGGGAUUUAGGAUGAAGGGUGGAGGAUGAGGGGAUGAUGGGUGGAGGAUGAUGGGUGGAGGUUGGAGGGUGGAGGACAGGAGUGUGUGAUCAAAGCGCUCUCAUGAUGAGACUCCUUGGUUUUUUCGGCGCUGCGCCCUGAAUCAGUGUUGAAACGGAGCAGCCAAUCACAGACCUCCAUCUCCACACCUCCACCUUCUGCCUCACCCUCUCCCCCCUCCCAGCCCCCAGGCGUCCAGAUGUUGCCGUCACCCGCGUUCUGCAGAGGCGCCGCAGCGUGGAACUGCCUGAAGUGAUGACAAUAAACACCUCCGCCAUAACCUGGGCCUCCUCAUUUGCAUAUUCGCCUUCGUCUUUAAUCUGAAAUAUGCAAAUGUAUGAAAAUGAAAUCCAUCUCCUAAUGACACCAGACGAUUAAACAAUUUUUAUGCUUAAAUAUUCUGUUUAAUGAAAUCAAACGGGCCCACGCGCCGCGACAAAUUCGCCGAGGCACGGGCGAAAUGAGAGGAUAUCACAAAAAAGAGCGAGGAAACGAGGGGGAGAGGGGGGAGGAUGGGGGAGGAUGGGGGAGGGAAAUGCCUGUGGUUGGAGGUUUGACAGCUUUUUAAAGUGUCCCUCAGAAAAAAAAACACAUCAGUGAGCUCCUGAAUUCAGAUUCUGUAACAAUUAUCAAAUCUGUCAGCUCCGCUUUUCAUACUCCCACUCCCUCAGCCGAACGAACAGCGGGUGACGAGGAGGAGAAAAUCUACGCCUGAAAACAGAGGAGGAGGAGGAGGAGGAGGAGGAGGAGAAAAUCUACGCCUGAAAACGGAGGAGGAGGAGGAGGAGGAGGAGAAUAUCCGUGUCUCUGACGGAGGUUUUUAAAACAGCUGCUCCAUCCGUCUCCACCUUACAGACGCUCCUCCACCUGAGCCUCACCUGUCCGAGGACACAGACACACAAACAGGAAACGAACACGGGGUAGAGGUCAGAGGGAGCGCCAUCAGACAGGAGGAGGAGAAGAAGGAGGAGAAGGAGAAGGAGGAGGACCUGGAGGAGAAGGAGGAGACAGCGCUGGGAUUAAAGGUGGAGUCUGCAGCUGCUUCGUUGUGGCGUUUUCUGUGACUGAUGGAGGCGCACAUGAAUAUAAAGGAGGUGAUUAUUAUUGAUUAUUAUUGAUUAUUAUUGAUUAUCACUGAUUAUUAUUGAUUAUUAUUGAUUAUUAUUGAUCAUGCCCUUUGUCUCCGGUUCUGUUCAGAACC
Xyrichtys novacula (pearly razorfish) is the source of this 1307-nucleotide non-coding RNA. Lineage: Eukaryota; Metazoa; Chordata; Actinopteri; Labriformes; Labridae. The record is from the annotation of a GenBank genome assembly.